RNAcentral lists this ribosomal RNA (253 nucleotides) under uncultured bacterium. Its description in RNAcentral is "partial 16S ribosomal RNA". It matches the Rfam family "Bacterial small subunit ribosomal RNA", at positions 524 to 776 of the family's 1533-position model. The record is from RNAcentral.
UACAGAGGUCUCAAGCGUUGUUCGGAUUCAUUGGGCGUAAAGGGUGCGUAGGCGGCGCGGUAAGUCGGGUGUGAAAUCUCGGAGCUUAACUCCGAAACUGCAUUCGAUACUGCCGUGCUUGAGGACUGGAGAGGAGACUGGAAUUUACGGUGUAGCGGUGAAAUGCGUAGAUAUCGGGAGGAACACCAGUGGCGAAGGCGACUACCUGGCCUGUUCUUGACGCUGAGGAGCGAAAGCGUGGGGAGCGAACAGG